GGAUGCUGGCACAUGUGUCCUGGUCCUCAACACCCUUCUGUGAGCCUAGGGACCCAUUUCUCCUCCUUUGACAGGGACAUCAGUGGAGCCUUCUCAGACCCACAGGGGUCCUUGGUGAAUUUUGUCAUGGUUAUUUAAGGAACCUUGCCUAGAAGUCCCAACUUGCAGUUCCCCAUCGACGGGAAGGCUUGGACUCCAAGAUGAUUAUAAAGGAAUAUCGGAUUCCUCUGCCAAUGACCGUGGAGGAGUACCGCAUCGCCCAGCUGUACAUGAUACAGGUGGGUCGUGGGGCAAGGGUGGGUCAUGGGGUGAGGGUGGGUCGCGCCAGCGCACAGACACCACAUGUGGGUUAGGUGGAGUUGUGGCCUUCACAGUGCAGUGCCUGCCCCAGAACUUCCUGGUAAGUGUGAAUUGUGCUGGACCCCUGGCCUCUAGGCACGAUGCCAGGCGCACUGAGCACACCAUGGGCGCGCGGCAUCAGAUUGCUUUCCGGCACUGUGUCCCGCCGCCUACAACGCGAACACUUGCCCUUGCGUUCA
RNAcentral lists this small RNA (539 nucleotides) under Pan troglodytes (chimpanzee). RNAcentral describes it as "retained intron". The record is from RNAcentral. Lineage: Eukaryota; Metazoa; Chordata; Mammalia; Primates; Hominidae.